CGGCGCGCGAGGCGGCGCGCUGCCACACGCCGUCGGGCUCCGAACCCGACGAGCCGCCCGACGACCUGCCCGCCGACCUGGACGACGACCCCGACGACGAGCCGCCGCCCGCGCCGCCGCGCACCAUAGAUACUCGCGCGAUUAUAGCGCAGGCUGCGCAGGCGCUGCUGGCCGCCACGCGCCACGUCGCGCCCGACGCGUAGCGACGCCCGUACGUACUUCACAGUUCACUGACCUACCCACUGUGUCACAGCUCUUCGUCAUAGGCUCUUCGAUGGAGAAAAUUUACGGCAAUAUUCCGCAGAUAAAAUAUCGCUUCGAGACCAAAUUACACCAGCGGCAAAUCUACAUUAUUCAGCUGCAUUGACACAACCUUACUGCCAUGUUGACGCUAUAUUAUAGGCGAUAUUGCUGAAAAAUUUUGCUCGUUUGAAGUUUUGUGGCCAGGGGAUUUUUGAACUAACUUUAGAUUAAUGAUUCGAUAGAAAUCGUGAAAGUUGUAUUUCGAUGAUUUCUACUGAUAGUUAUCCAAAAAUCCACCAGCCUUAAUAACUUGGUACAACUGUACUCUCGACAUUAGAAUGUGAAUGAAACCUUAAGUUUAUAUUUGGAUGAUUGUGGUACUUUGUAUAAAUCAAUAAGAUAAUACGAAACUUUUGGUGUAUGUAGUUAAAUUUAUAUUAUAAUUGUAAUACAGUUUGAAUAAUGCAAAAUUUAGUAUCGGCAGUUAUUGUGACACGAUUUAUAGCGCAAUGGGAGCUAUUAUCUUUCUAGGGUGGCACCGCCAGUUGUAGUAUUUGUUUUGACCAGUAAACAUAUGUAAUGUAAAAUCUAGAGUGAUGCCGCCACUAAAAACGUAAUUGCUCCCACAGUUAAACUGAUUCAAGUGUAGAUAGCCUUGAUCCGGCGUCUUUUUGACAUCAAAUGCCAUUUCCAAAAUAAAUUAAUAUAUUUUUGUAACACGUUCAUUGAGCAUCAAAAAUAAUAUACUACCAUAAACCGAUUGUAUGACUACAUACCUACAUAUUUUCCAUAUAUUAUUUUUCUAAAGUUAUUUAGAAGCUAUCUUGGUAGGAUAUAUUCUGAUACGUUAUUUUUAACGCAAAAAAGACGCCGAUUGAGGCUUCCGUAUGCGUUAUGUGGUGUAAAAAAAUGAUAAUGUAUAAUUCAAUACGGCGCUAUAAUACUGUCGGAAACGAUGCGCUUGCAGUUCCCUUUAUUACUUGUUUGAAGUGUGAUCUACAUUUGAGGCUACUUAGGGUCCUUUCGCUGUGGCCGGUGACUAUAUUGAAAAAAAAAAACCAUUUGCUUCCAACUGCGUUGACAUAAUCGUUUUAAUAUUAACUGUUAGGCAAUUUCAGUAUUUUGAAGCAGAUGGCUUCAAAACCGAUAUUUCACCUUAUUGGUCUGACUGGCCCAUCCAUAUGGCUUUUCAGCUCUUGGUCUGCCACAGAAAAAGAGACCCUCUGUACAAUACUGAUCAGUGUAAACUUUAAUGGCGUAUCCAAAAAAGAUACGCCAUUAGAAUCUCAGUAUUGUUCGCCUCAACAAGAUCGCACUCAUAUUGCACAACUUACCUGAAUUCUAAAUACCUAUUAUCGUUUGGAGUAGCUCAAUAUUACAAUGAAACUAUCUAUUGUUCACAUACCAUGUUAGUUCGUAUAUGUAUCUCUUAAGUCAUUAAUAUAUUGAUAUGUUAAAAAGUGCAAAUGCUGAAGAAAUGUUUAACUGAUGUUUUCGUCGUUUAAUAAAUAAGUUUAUUGUGUAAAAAAUAGACUUAGUAGUUGUUGCUUAAGUUCUUAACGAUAACGUAAUGCGUGGCGUUUUUUGAGAAUGUCUUUGUAUCUCGCAAUUCGGUUGAACGUAAAUAUACUGAUUGCAUAGUAAUAUGAAUACAUCGAUGUUUAGCAUACAUUCCAAAAGUGAGCAUCACACAGCGCUUUGGGCCAGGCUGCGUGCUACAAACGCGUACUUACAUGAUAUUUUGAAGGAGACUGAUCACAGCCAUAGGCCUCGUGUAGGACUACCGAACAAACGUGAGGGGUCGUUUCGUACUAUUUUGAUACAUGAACAGUGGCGGCCAUAAGGUUUUAUUUUGAUAUAAGCCGUAGAUACUUACUUCAGGCAAAUACUGCCUGAUUGCAUAAUGCACCGCACGCCCCUGUCCAUGAAUACAAAUUGUAUCUUCUAUUUGAUAUCAAAUAUUUUGAAUUUUCCUUAUGAGGAGUAUAAUUUUGGUUUAACACUUUAUUGAUGUGUUUGAAAGGCAUCGAUGCGACUGAUAGGUUUUAUGGAGAAUGGAUUAGGGAAAAUUUUAGUUGAUAUUAUUUACGGCUUUCUAAUUAACAAUUUUAUGGUAUAAUAGCCCGUGUAAAGUGCGGACGACAAGCCGUUUUUUAUUUUCGUAUGUAUUCAUUCCUCUCACUCAUAACGAGAUGCUGGUAUGAGUGACUGAAGCAAGUACACCCUUAAAUACUGAAUCGGAGUUACAAAGCAGCCCCGCCCUGAAGGUCUUAUUAUAGCAUUUUCAAUCAAAUUAUGCAUGUAAUCACUUACCAUCAGGUGAUCCGUCUGCUCGUUUGCCUCCUGUCACAUAAAAAAAAACUAGACUCGAUGAAAGCUAUAAAUAAUAUUAAUUAAUCUUUGACUAAUAUUGAGGGCGUAAUUUUAUAUCGUUUUUUAAUUUUAUAUAGUUAGUUGUAGACAUUCUCAUGUUCGUAGGAAGAGCAGUAUGGUAGGAGUCGUGUUGCUAUAAAUACUGUUUGACUUUAGCAUCACUAUGUUUUAGCUUGUUUAAAUGGAUAACGUAAUUUAAUUUCUAUUAACUCAAUACAAUAGAACUACAAUUUACUCUCAUGUAUAAUUUUACGAUACUAUUUGAAUUACAUAUUUUAUAGUGUAUUAUUUCCAUCUCAUUUGGAUCAAAGAACCUCUUGCGUUACAUAAUAAUAAUGCUUAGAUCUCUGAUUAUAUUUUAUACUGUGUACUGUUCGGAAGUGUAGGUUUCCGUAAGCAUCUUACUUCUCCAUCUCUCACAUUUUGUUUUGUUUCCACUCUGGAGCCUUUAUUUAUAAUGUUUGUAAAACUAGAUAAUGAGAGUACUAAUUUCACUGUCAUAUUACGAGUACAUUUUGGUAACAGAACAGAAACGCGAGCGAUGAUAUUCACUAUUGGAAAUUUCGAUCGGUAGCUACUUGUAUCUAUAAAAUAAUGAACUUACUAAUCAGCCAUUUUGUAAAGAUUGAUAGAUGUAAAAUGAUUUGAAAAGAUAUGUAACCAAAAAGGUUUUGCAAAUUGACAAGUUCUGAUCCAGAUUAGCAAAAUAAUCAUGUUAAUUUUUCAUAUUCUAUAUUUUAGGACAUCAUUUAUUUGAACGAGAGUAAAAAAUAAUAUUUUGAUAGCAAUUCCUCUACAUGUUUUAUUUAUUUCUGUGAAAAUGAAUCUCCAGUUCAAAUUCGGGCGUUAUGUAUUGUAGAUAGUUCUGCAUGCCUGGAUCUAUACACUUUAGUCGGUCCCGUGAAGUUUAGGAUUGUGUUAUUACUUCGAUGAAAUAAUUUGGGCAAAAUUAUCUCAUAAAAAUGUUUGAAAUUUCCAUUAAAUUAUCAGGUUUUAUAACAAAACUAUGUUAUAAUUUUAUGCAUUUAUUAAUAACAAUAUCGUUUAAAAUUUAAACUAGAAAUUAUUUUUCGCUUCCAAUUCACUUUUCGUUUUUUGGCUGUGAAGGGUUUGUUAGACUAAGAUAUGUGUAACCUUUUAGAAAAGAAAUUCUAUAUUCUUAACGCUUACGAUGUCCGAGGCUGAGCUUACGUAUAACAACAAAACCAUAAAGUUAGUCAAAUUACCCGUCCAAGGCGCGUACUUUAAAUUUGUCUGCGGAUCGUGAAAAAUAUAGGCCAGUAAAAUUAUAGUCGAAUCUUUGUAAAUGUGUAAUGUGAAAUUAAAAAUCUCGAAUCUUUCGACUUCUAUUGGAUGUUCUUGAACCCGAAAGAAGUAGCAAAAACAAGUAAUACAUAAUUCCCUCCCUGUAGUGGGCUGACCAACUCCAUUUAUCGGGCACAGCACUCUCUUCUUUGAAUGUUUAUGCUUCUCGUUACCCUGUAAAAACUUUUUUGAUGUCGGUGUUAAAUAUUAAGUACUUACAUGAAUAUUAUAGUAAUGAGGCGAAUAAUAUUUAAUUUAAUAACACUGCCCAAAUCACCAAGAUUACUCUUUAUUAUAAGGCAUAAUAUGUAUGUCAGAAACGCGUAGAAAAUUUAAACAAAUUAAAAUAAACAACGUAUCGAAUUACAGAAUUUUGAUGAAAUAUAAAUUAAUAUGUCCAUUUUAUAAAUUUUAUAGUAAAUACUACGAUUUGUAUUUUCAUCCAUCACAAAUUGGUUAAUGUUUUACUGCGUAUUGGCAUCGAGAGCGCGGGACGGGUGUGAUAGUGCGGCCAUCCAUAAUCGAGCUGGUGAGGCUUCGUAGACGCGGUAGAAAAAAAGGGGUAAUUAUGACAGAAAUCAAAUUAUUAUUUAGGAUACAUUCAUAUAGUCUACAAGGCAAGAUUUUUAGCUAAAUAUGUACAUGUUUCAAUUGAUCACAUAACUUGUAUUUAUAACUGCUUGGUUUUGCGGUCGAUAUCGACAUCACAUUAACCACAAAGUGUCAGUUAUCUAUAAUGAUUUUUGAACUUUAUUGCAUUUACUAUGAAGUGCAAAAUCAAUUAAGGAAAGUUAUUUUGUGGAAAAUUGGUGUACUGUCGAUGUACCCUACAUCUAGAGAGUUACGCUUACGCUUCUAACGUGAAGAAAGUACGCACGCGCACGCGACACCUGCGCCCGCGCUUUCCAUGUAACUAGGCGCUUAGAGUUUAGAUAAAUAACAGAAGUGGUUAUUAUAAUUCACUUAUUAGAUUUCUAUAUUAUCUAUAAUGUAACGUUUCUCGAAUAAGCAUCAUAGUUGUCAAUAGCUGCCUAUAAAAAUAGAAACAAAAAGCAAUAAUGUUCAACGGAAUACGAAUUAAUCAAUAUUGAAAACUCCAAUUGUUCAUAAUAAUUUGAAUGUACUUUAUUCAUUAUGUAAUUGUUAUUGACUUCUGUUAUAUUAAUAUGUAUCGGUAGAAUUCGUUGUGAGGAGAGACAGCAGUCACUGGAAAAAAUGUAAAAGGGUUUUGAGGUAAUAUAAUGUGGUGCUAUCAAUCAGAUUCGAGUGGCUGGGAAAUAAAAUGUAUUUAGUUUGUCCUGAUUUUAGAGCUUAUUAAUAUAUAUAAUCUAAUAUAACUAUGCUGUAAUUAUCUUUUUAUUAAUUUUAAGAUUAUUUUAUGUUUCCACUAAAAGCGGCGCUAGAUGACCGUUCGUAAGUGUCACAGUCUAGCGGUCAUCACAUUUCAACUUGGCUUAUAUUAGGGGAUACUCAACAUGUGUAUUAUAAUUACUUACAUUUAAUUUUACGACACUGAAAUUUUACUUUCAGUCAAAUAUAACUGUGUUAUUGAACAUAAUUUGUGAAAAUUAAUGAAAAUACUGUAAAUCGGACUGGUAAGCCAAAGUAAACAGUAUUUUAUAA
Molecule: long non-coding RNA, 5544 nt
Organism: Ostrinia nubilalis (European corn borer)
Lineage: Eukaryota; Metazoa; Arthropoda; Insecta; Lepidoptera; Crambidae
Exons: 2
Source: RefSeq, a predicted model, not a curated record